GGGUGGCGACCGGCGCACGGGUGCGUAACGCGUAUGCAACCUACCUUGUACUGGGGUAUAGCCCGGAGAAAUUCGGAUUAAUCCCCCAUAGUAUUAAUUACUCGCAUGAGUUAUUAAUUAAAGGUUACGGUACAAGAUGGGCAUGCGUCCUAUUAGCUAGAUGGUGGGGUAACGGCUCACCAUGGCUACGAUAGGUAGGGGGCCUGAGAGGGUGGUCCCCCACACUGGUACUGAGACACGGACCAGACUCC
RNAcentral lists this ribosomal RNA (251 nucleotides) under uncultured bacterium. RNAcentral describes it as "partial 16S ribosomal RNA". It matches the Rfam family "Bacterial small subunit ribosomal RNA", at positions 86 to 339 of the family's 1533-position model. The record is from RNAcentral.